RNAcentral lists this ribosomal RNA (254 nucleotides) under uncultured bacterium. Its description in RNAcentral is "partial 16S ribosomal RNA". It matches the Rfam family "Bacterial small subunit ribosomal RNA", at positions 524 to 776 of the family's 1533-position model. The record is from RNAcentral.
UACGGGGGGGGGCAAGCGUUGUUCGGAAUUACUGGGCGUAAAGAGCGCGCAGGCGGUCGUUCAAGUCGCGUGUGAAAGCCCCCGGCUCAACUGGGGAGGGUCACGCGAUACUGAUCGACUGGAAGGCAGGAGAGGGUAGUGGAAUUCCCGGUGUAGUGGUGAAAUGCGUAGAUAUCGGGAGGAACACCAGUGGCGAAGGCGACUACCUGGCCUGUUCUUGACGCUGAGGCGCGAAAGCUAGGGGAGCAAACGGG